UAGCCGUAAACGAAUACUCGCUAGGUGUCGGCCACGGUGCGACCGUUGUCGGUGCCGUAGGGAAGCCGUGAAGCGAGCCACCUGGGAAGUACGGCCGCAAGGCUGAAACUUAAAGGAAUUGGCGGGGGAGGCACAACAACGGGUGGAGCUUGCGGUUUAAUUGGAUUCAACGCCGGAAAUCUUACCGGGACCGACAGCAACAUGAAGGCCAAGCUGAAGACUUUGCCGGAUUUAGCUGAGAGGAGGUGCAUGGCGUAGACGUCU
RNAcentral lists this ribosomal RNA (264 nucleotides) under uncultured archaeon. RNAcentral's name for it is "partial 16S ribosomal RNA". It matches the Rfam family "Archaeal small subunit ribosomal RNA", at positions 748 to 1009 of the family's 1478-position model. The record is from RNAcentral.